AGAGUUUGAUCAUGGCUCAGAUUGAACGCUGGCGGCAGGCCUAACACAUGCAAGUCGAACGGUAACAGGAAGAAGCUUGCUUCUUUGCUGACGAGUGGCGGACGGGUGAGUAAUGUCUGGGAAACUGCCUGAUGGAGGGGGAUAACUACUGGAAACGGUAGCUAAUACCGCAUAACGUCGCAAGACCAAAGAGGGGGACCUUCGGGCCUCUUGCCAUCGGAUGUGCCCAGAUGGGAUUAGCUAGUAGGUGGGGUAACGGCUCACCUAGGCGACGAUCCCUAGCUGGUCUGAGAGGAUGACCAGCCACACUGGAACUGAGACACGGUCCAGACUCCUACGGGAGGCAGCAGUGGGGAAUAUUGCACAAUGGGCGCAAGCCUGAUGCAGCCAUGCCGCGUGUAUGAAGAAGGCCUUCGGGUUGUAAAGUACUUUCAGCGGGGAGGAAGGGAGUAAAGUUAAUACCUUUGCUCAUUGACGUUACCCGCAGAAGAAGCACCGGCUAACUCCGUGCCAGCAGCCGCGGUAAUACGGAGGGUGCAAGCGUUAAUCGGAAUUACUGGGCGUAAAGCGCACGCAGGCGGUUUGUUAAGUCAGAUGUGAAAUCCCCGGGCUCAACCUGGGAACUGCAUCUGAUACUGGCAAGCUUGAGUCUCGUAGAGGGGGGUAGAAUUCCAGGUGUAGCGGUGAAGUGCGUAGAGAUCUGGAGGAAUACCGGUGGCGAAGGCGGCCCCCUGGACGAAGACUGACGCUCAGGUGCGAAAGCGUGGGGAGCAAACAGGAUUAGAUACCCUGGUAGUCCACGCCGUAAACGAUGUCGACUUGGAGGUUGUGCCCUUGAGGCGUGGCUUCCGGAGCUAACGCGUUAAGUCGACCGCCUGGGGAGUACGGCCGCAAGGUUAAAACUCAAAUGAAUUGACGGGGGCCCGCACAAGCGGUGGAGCAUGUGGUUUAAUUCGAUGCAACGCGGAGAACCUUACCUGGUCUUGACAUCCACGGAAGUUUUCAGAGAUGAGAAUGUGCCUUCGGGAACCGUGAGACAGGUGCUGCAUGGCUGUCGUCAGCUCGUGUUGUGAAAUGUUGGGUUAAGUCCCGCAACGAGCGCAACCCUUAUCCUUUGUUGCCAGCGGUCCGGCCGGGAACUCAAAGGAGACUGCCAGUGAUAAACUGGAGGAAGGUGGGGAUGACGUCAAGUCAUCAUGCCCCUUACGACCAGGGCUACACACGUGCUACAAUGGCGCAUACAAAGAGAAGCGACCUCGCGAGAGCAAGCGGACCUCAUAAAGUGCGUCGUAGUCCGGAUUGGAGUCUGCAACUCGACUCCAUGAAGUCGGAAUCGCUAGUAAUCGUGGAUCAGAAUGCCACGGUGAAUACGUUCCCGGGCCUUGUACACACCGCCCGUCACACCAUGGGAGUGGGUUGCAAAAGAAGUAGGUAGCUUAACCUUCGGGAGGGCGCUUACCACUUUGUGAUUCAUGACUGGGGUGAAGUCGUAACAAGGUAACCGUAGGGGAACCUGCGGUUG
This 1522-nucleotide ribosomal RNA is filed under the name metagenome. Its description in RNAcentral is "bacterial SSU rRNA". It matches the Rfam family "Bacterial small subunit ribosomal RNA". The record is from RNAcentral.